Molecule: non-coding RNA, 405 nt
Filed under: Chlamydotis macqueenii (Macqueen's bustard)
Lineage: Eukaryota; Metazoa; Chordata; Aves; Otidiformes; Otididae
Description: Chlamydotis undulata macqueenii Bacterial large subunit ribosomal RNA
Rfam family: Bacterial large subunit ribosomal RNA
Source: Rfam by way of RNAcentral
UAAGACGAGAAGACCCUGUGGAACUUAAAAAUCAGUAGCCACCCCACACAAACCCAAACCUACAAGGCUCACUACUUCAAAACUGCUGGCUUACAUUUUUCGGUUGGGGCGACCUUGGAGAAAAACAAAUCCUCCAAAAAUAAGACCAUACCUCUUAACCAAGAGCAACGUCUCUAAGUGCUAAUAGUACCCAGGCCCAAUAUUCUUGAUUAAUGGACCAAGCUACCCCAGGGAUAACAGCACAAUCUCCUUUAAGAGCCCCUAUCGACAAGGAGGUUUACGACCUCGAUGUUGGAUCAGGACAUCCUAAUGGUGCAGCCGCUAUUAAGGGUUCGUUUGUUCAACGAUUAACAGUCCUAUGUGAUCUGACUUCAGACUGGAGCAAUCCAGGUCAGUUUCUAUCUA